GGCGAACGGGUGAGUAAUACAUCGGAACGUGUCCAGUAGUGGGGGAUAACCAGUCGAAAGAUUGGCUAAUACCGCAUACGAUCUACGGAUGAAAGCGGGGGACUCGCAAGGGCCUCGCGCUAUCGGAGCGGCCGAUGUCGGAUUAGCUUGUUGGCGGGGUAAAAGCCCACCAAGGCAACGAUCCGUAGCUGGUCUGAGAGGACGACCAGCCACACUGGAACUGAGACACGGUCCAGACUCCUACGGGAGGCAGCAGUGGGGAAUUUUGGACAAUGGGGGAAACCCUGAUCCAGCCAUGCCGCGUGAGUGAAGAAGGCCUUCGGGUUGUAAAGCUCUUUCGGCGGGGACGAAACGGUCCGUGACAACACCACGGACUAAUGACGGUACUCGCAGAAGAAGCACCGGCUAACUACGUGCCAGCAGCCGCGGUAAUACGUAGGGUGCAGGCGCUAAUCGGAAUUACUGGGCGUAAAGCGUGCGCAGGCGGCCUCUUAAGUCAGAUGUGAAAUCCCCGGGCUUAACCUGGGAACUGCGUUUGAAACUGGGAGGCUAGAGUGUGGAAGAGGGGGGUGGAAUUCCAGGUGUAGCAGUGAAAUGCGUAGAAAUCUGGAGGAACACCGAUGGCGAAGGCAGCCCCCUGGGCUGACACUGACGCUCAUGCACGAAAGCGUGGGGAGCAAACAGGAUUAGAUACCCUGGUAGUCC
RNAcentral lists this ribosomal RNA (705 nucleotides) under uncultured bacterium. RNAcentral describes it as "bacterial SSU rRNA". It matches the Rfam family "Bacterial small subunit ribosomal RNA", at positions 97 to 796 of the family's 1533-position model. The record is from RNAcentral.